GAUAAACGCUGGCGGCGCACAUAAGACAUGCAAGUCGAACGGACUUAACCAUUAGUUUACUAUUGGAGCGGUUAGUGGCGGACUGGUGAGUAACACGUAAGCAACCUGCCUAUCAGAGGGGAACAACAGUUAGAAAUGACUGCUAAUACCGCAUAUACCUAAGUAUCGCAUGGUACAAUAGGGAAAGGAGCAAUCCGCUGAUAGAUGGGCUUGCGUCUGAUUAGAUAGUUGGUGGGGUAACGGCCUACCAAGUCGACGAUCAGUAGCCGACCUGAGAGGGUGACCGGCCACAUUGGGACUGAGACACGGCCCAG
Molecule: ribosomal RNA, 314 nt
Filed under: uncultured bacterium
Lineage: Bacteria
Description: bacterial SSU rRNA
Rfam family: Bacterial small subunit ribosomal RNA
Source: RNAcentral